GAUUGUUUCAGGAUGACCUCCCAUUAUCCAAUGACACAUCUGCUUACCUGCAUCUUUUGCUCGUUUCUCCUCCUCUUCUUUUCUCUUUUUCUAAACUUCUGUAGUCUGUAUCAUAAUGUCUGGUGUUUUCGUGUUUGUUGGUUUAUUUUUAUUUUGUUUUACUUUGCGAGUUGGUUAUUAGAUGCUGCCCCCGCCGCCCCGCCCUCUCCUCUCUGCGCCGCAAUCAGCAGGCGCACCUCGCAAACGAAGGGCGUCCUUACUCCCAGCAAAUGGGCGAUAGAAAACCGAUCGGUGCCUAUGCCAUUCCCAAUAUGCGCUGGCUGACGUCGGGGCAGCAUGAGUACAAGCUUUUUUUUUUCUUUUUUUUUUUUGCUGAUGCCCGUGAUGCCGCCCCCCACCACGAUGCCGCCCCGGGCAACCGCCCGUGUCGCCCGUAUCUAAAACCGCUACUGCAUCUGGUCCACAGCAUCCACAUCUAUUUGCUUUUCAAACCUGCCAAUGAGGGGCAGCCGAUCACAAAAGAGGAGGAGCUGGAACAGCUUGCUUCAGUCAGACAAGUAGCAAAGGCUCUGCACAAAGGUGCCCUAUAAGAUCAAUAAGGUUUGUUUUGAACUUGGAACCACAGCUAAUCUAGCAAAUAAAAAUAUGGAGCUGGAAAUGAACAUAAUUAGUCCUCCUUAAGGGCACGUCUACUUGAGAUUGUAGCUGAAGCAGACUGCCAAGUGUUUUCUAUUAUGCAACUGGUCAGAAGUCUGCAUUAAAGUUUAACCGACAGUGUAUGAACUCCAGGUGAAAAAUUUAAUUGGCCACUAUCAUUAAAUUAUAGAUGAACAUUUAAUUGUGUAGUUGUAAAUCAUUUAUUAUAAACCGCAGAGGCGGUUUAUAAUAAAGUAAGUCAGAGUUUUCAGUGUCCUCAAUGGUGGAUUCUGUUGGUGCAGUAACUCAGAAAACAAAAAUCUCCUAUGCUCAGGUCUCUCUGUCUCCACCUUCCCUGAAUCUCCUUCCCCUCAUCCCCACAAGUGUAUUAUCUAAG
Molecule: long non-coding RNA, 1033 nt
Organism: Astatotilapia calliptera (eastern happy)
Lineage: Eukaryota; Metazoa; Chordata; Actinopteri; Cichliformes; Cichlidae
Source: Ensembl